GGCCAGGGAUGAGUGCUGGCAUGUAUUAUCUGAGCAGAACUGAUGAUUCACUGCUUUAGCUCUAGAAUUACUCUGAGGCCCA
RNAcentral lists this small nucleolar RNA (82 nucleotides) under Acanthisitta chloris (rifleman). Its description in RNAcentral is "Small nucleolar RNA SNORD45". It matches the Rfam family "Small nucleolar RNA SNORD45". Rfam says of the family: U45 belongs to the C/D class of snoRNA which contain the C (UGAUGA) and D (CUGA) box motifs. Most of the members of the box C/D family function in directing site-specific 2'-O-methylation of substrate RNAs. Lineage: Eukaryota; Metazoa; Chordata; Aves; Passeriformes; Acanthisittidae. The record is from Rfam by way of RNAcentral.